This 57-nucleotide transfer RNA is filed under the name Apaloderma vittatum (bar-tailed trogon). It matches the Rfam family "tRNA", at positions 9 to 63 of the family's 71-position model. From Rfam's summary of the family: Transfer RNA (tRNA) molecules are approximately 80 nucleotides in length. Their secondary structure includes four short double-helical elements and three loops (D, anti-codon, and T loops). The record is from Rfam by way of RNAcentral. Lineage: Eukaryota; Metazoa; Chordata; Aves; Trogoniformes; Trogonidae.
AGCUCAGUCGGUUGAGCAUGGCGCUGACAAUGCCAAGGCCGUGGGUUCGAUUCGCAU